UCCCCGUUACCGGGGCAGUCUGAAUAGAAAAAUACAACUAUUCACAAGGGUUGCGCUCGUUGAUGGACUUAACCAAACAUCUCACGACACGAGCUGACGACGGCCAUGCAGCACCUGUCACUUGGCUCCAAAAGGCACUCUCUACUUUCAUAGUGAUUCCAAGGAUGUCAAGUCCUGGUAAGGUUCUUCGUUUAACAUCGAAUUAAAGAACAUGAUCCACCGCUUGUGCGGGUCCCCGUCAAUUCCUUUAUGUUUCAGUCUUGCGACCGUACUCCACAGGUGGGAUACUUAACGCGUUAGCUUCGCUACGGAAGGGGUCGAUACCCCCCACAGCUAGUAUCCAUCGUUUACGGCGUGGACUAC
RNAcentral lists this unclassified non-coding RNA (363 nucleotides) under uncultured bacterium. RNAcentral's name for it is "contains 16S-23S intergenic spacer region". The record is from RNAcentral.